This 495-nucleotide ribosomal RNA is filed under the name uncultured Oceanospirillaceae bacterium. RNAcentral describes it as "bacterial SSU rRNA". It matches the Rfam family "Bacterial small subunit ribosomal RNA", at positions 60 to 546 of the family's 1533-position model. The record is from RNAcentral. Lineage: Bacteria; Pseudomonadati; Pseudomonadota; Gammaproteobacteria; Oceanospirillales; Oceanospirillaceae.
AGUCGAGCGGUAACAUUUCUAGCUUGUUAGAAGAUGACGAGCGGCGGACGGGUGAGUAACGCGUAGGAAUCUGCCUAGUAGUGGGGGACAACAUGUGGAAACGCAUGCUAAUACCGCAUACGCCCUGAGGGGGAAAGGAGGGGAUCUUAGGACCUUUCGCUAUUAGAUGAGCCUGCGUGAGAUUAGCUAGUUGGUGAGGUAAAGGCUCACCAAGGCGACGAUCUCUAGCUGGUCUGAGAGGAUGAUCAGCCACACUGGGACUGAGACACGGCCCAGACUCCUACGGGAGGCAGCAGUGGGGAAUAUUGGACAAUGGGCGCAAGCCUGAUCCAGCCAUGCCGCGUGUGUGAAGAAGGCCUUAGGGUUGUAAAGCACUUUCAGGAGUGAGGAAGGGUGUACGGUUAAUACCCGUAUAUUUUGACGUUAGCUCCAGAAGAAGCACCGGCUAACUCUGUGCCAGCAGCCGCGGUAAUACAGAGGGUGCAAGCGUUAAUC